UGUAGAAGAACUGGCUACUGGAUGGG
This 26-nucleotide non-coding RNA is filed under the name Rattus norvegicus (Norway rat). Lineage: Eukaryota; Metazoa; Chordata; Mammalia; Rodentia; Muridae. The record is from RNAcentral.